CCUACGGGUGGCAGCAGUGAGGAAUAUUGGUCAAUGGGCGGAAGCCUGAACCAGCCAAGUAGCGUGCAGGAUGACGGCCCUACGGGUUGUAAACUGCUUUUAUACGGGAAUAACGCGCCUUACGUGUAGGGCUUUGCAUGUACCGUAUGAAUAAGGACCGGCUACUUCCGUGCCUGCAGCCGCGGUAAUACGGAAGGUCCGGGCGUUAUCCGGAUUUAUUGGUUUUAAAGGGAGCGUAGGCCGCAUGUCAAGCGUGCUGUGAAAUGUCCGGGCUCAACCCGGGACUUGCAGCGCGAACUGGCGUGAGUGAGUCCGCGGAAAGCAGGCGGAAUUCGGCGUGUAGCGGUGAAAUGCUUAGAUAUGACGAAGAACCCCGAUUGCGAAGGCAGCUUGCUGCAGCGGAACUGACGCUGAUGCUCGAAAGCGCGGGUAUCGAACAGGAUUAGAUACCCUUGUAGUC
This 460-nucleotide ribosomal RNA is filed under the name uncultured bacterium. Its description in RNAcentral is "partial 16S ribosomal RNA". It matches the Rfam family "Bacterial small subunit ribosomal RNA", at positions 338 to 795 of the family's 1533-position model. The record is from RNAcentral.